This 98-nucleotide non-coding RNA is filed under the name Streptomyces clavuligerus. RNAcentral describes it as "Glycine sequence". It matches the Rfam family "Glycine riboswitch aptamer". From Rfam's summary of the family: This family represents the bacterial glycine riboswitch. Glycine riboswitches usually consist of two metabolite-binding aptamers domains with similar structures in tandem. The aptamers cooperatively bind glycine to regulate the expression of downstream genes. Lineage: Bacteria; Bacillati; Actinomycetota; Actinomycetes; Kitasatosporales; Streptomycetaceae. The record is from RNAcentral.
UGACCCCACGCGGGAGAGUCCACCGGCACACCGCCGGCGGCGCCGAAGGAGCAAAUCCUCCCCGGAAUCUCUCAGGCACCCCGUACCGCAUGGGUGAG